AUAGCCAUGGGAGAGGUUGCGUAACACUUAUAAGCCCCCCGGGGGGUGAUUAUCCGAUUUGGAUUGGCCGCGUUAGAUUAGAUAGUUGGUGGGGUAAAGGCCUACCAUGUCUACGAUUUAUAGCUUGGCCCAGAGGAUGAUUAGCAACACUCGGGACUGAGACACGGCCCAGACUCCUACGGGAGGCAGCAGUCGGGGAAAUCCCGGACAUUCGGGCGCAUGCCUGAUUCCAGCCAUCGCCGCGUGAGUGAACGAAAGGCCUUCAGGGUUCGUAAUGCUUCUUUUCGCCAGGGAACGAUAUUCGAACAGUACCCUGGGUAAAAGAAAACCCCCGGCUAAACUCCCCGUCGCCCAGCAAGCCCGCCGGUAAUAACGGAGGGGGUUAAGCGUUCGUUUCGGAAAUUAACUCGGGCGUAAAAGCGCGCGUAAGGCGGGUUCGUUAAAAGUUAAGAAGGUUGAAAAUCCCCGGGGCUUCAAACCCCCGGAAACUCGCCCUUUUAAAUAACUUGGCAAACCCUAAGAAGUUUCGAAGAAGAGGGUUGAGGUUGGAAAUUUCCGAAGUUGUAAGAAGGUUGAAAAUUUCGUAAGAAUAUCUUCGGAGGAAACACCAGUUGGCGAAAGCGGCUUCACUUGGCUUCGAUCACUUGAACGCUUGAAGUUGCGAAAAGUUGUUGGGGGAUAGCAAAACAGGA
This 692-nucleotide ribosomal RNA is filed under the name uncultured bacterium. RNAcentral describes it as "partial 16S ribosomal RNA". The stretch from base 1 to 391 matches the Rfam family "Bacterial small subunit ribosomal RNA", at positions 143 to 542 of the family's 1533-position model. The record is from RNAcentral.